This 562-nucleotide ribosomal RNA is filed under the name uncultured bacterium. Its description in RNAcentral is "partial 16S ribosomal RNA". It matches the Rfam family "Bacterial small subunit ribosomal RNA", at positions 355 to 1375 of the family's 1533-position model. The record is from RNAcentral.
UGGGGAAUAUUGCACAAUGGGCGAAAGCCUGAUGCAGCAACGCCGCGUGAGCGAUGAAGGCCUUCGGGUUGUAAAGCUCUGUCUUUUGGGACGAUAAUGACGGUACCAAAGGAGGAAGCCACGGCUAACUACGUGCCAGCAGCCGCGGUAAUACGUAGGUGGCAAGCGUUGUCCGGAUUUACUGGGCGUAAAGGAUGCGUAGGCGGAUUUUUAAGUGAGAUGUGAAAACCCUAAGCUUAACUUGGGGACUGCAUUUCAUACUGGAAAUCUAGAGUGCGGGAGAGGAGAAUGGAAUUCCUAGUGUAGCGGUGAAAUGCGUAGAGAUUAGGAAGAACACCAGUGGCGAAGGCGAUUCUCUGGACCGUAACUGACGCUGAGGCAUGAAAGCGUGGGUAGCAAACAGGAUUAGAUACCCUGGUAGUCCACGCCGUAAACGAUGAGUACUAGGUGUAGGAGGUAUCGACCCCUUCUGUGCCGCAGUUAACACAAUAAGUACUCCGCCUGGGAAGUACGAUCGCAAGAUUAAAACUCAAAGGAAUUGACGGGGUCAUAGCUGUUUCCU